This 385-nucleotide long non-coding RNA is filed under the name Strigops habroptila (Kakapo). RNAcentral describes it as "lncRNA (ENSSHBG00005015750.1)". Lineage: Eukaryota; Metazoa; Chordata; Aves; Psittaciformes; Psittacidae. The record is from RNAcentral.
GUUUUCUGUUCUGAGCCUUUGGCUUGUCAGGAUCCCUCCUUCAUUUGCCGGCAGAGAUCCUGGAAUGUCACAGUGUAUGCUGCAGCACGUACAGUUUGAGUCCUGCUCUCACUUGCCCACCUGUUCCUCUCCUGUACUGUGUGAUGGAGAUGCACAGCUCCGAGAGCUCUGCCACUGGAUUUGUUCAAAUGGACCUUGAUAGCCAUGGGGCCUGACUGAGUUGAUGAGACUCUGGGUGACUGCAAGUUUCUACUCUGAAGAUCUGAUUGUAGGCUUCAACCUAAAUUUCUAUUUUAUUCCUCUGUCUAUUUCCUUCUAAUACAUGAAAAUUAUCCUACAAAAUGGUAUUGUCUUUGAGUCUCAUGCACACCUACUUUAAUAGCAU